GACGAACGCUGGCGGCGUGCUUAACACAUGCAAGUCGAACGGAAAGGCCCUGCUUUUGUGGGGUGCUCGAGUGGCGAACGGGUGAGUAACACGUGAGUAACCUGCCCUUGACUUUGGGAUAACUUCAGGAAACUGGGGCUAAUACCGGAUAGGAGCUCCUGCUGCAUGGUGGGGGUUGGAAAGUUUCGGCGGUUGGGGAUGGACUCGCGGCUUAUCAGCUUGUUGGUGGGGUAGUGGCUUACCAAGGCUUUGACGGGUAGCCGGACUGAGAGGGUGACCGGCCACAGUGGGACUGAGAUACGGCCCAGACUCCUACGGGAGGCAGCAGUGGGGAAUAGUGCACAAUGGGCGGAAGCCUGAUGCAGCGACGCCGCGUGCGGGAUGACGGCCGUCGGGGUGUAAACCGCUUUCGCCUGUGACGAAGCGUGAGUGACGGUAAUUUGUAAAGAAGCACCGGCUAACUACGUG
This 468-nucleotide ribosomal RNA is filed under the name uncultured bacterium. RNAcentral's name for it is "partial 16S ribosomal RNA". It matches the Rfam family "Bacterial small subunit ribosomal RNA", at positions 28 to 507 of the family's 1533-position model. The record is from RNAcentral.